Long non-coding RNA from Oxyura jamaicensis (ruddy duck), 445 nucleotides. RefSeq lists it as uncharacterized. Lineage: Eukaryota; Metazoa; Chordata; Aves; Anseriformes; Anatidae. The record is from RefSeq and is a predicted model, not a curated record. The transcript has 3 exons.
GACCUCUCUUCAUUAACCUAGCAAUUUACCAUGACAUUGGGUGGUGGAUUUAUCACAGAACCUGCUAUGAAGUGGUCUCUGGGGGCAACAGAACUAAAGGGAAUAAAUUUGUACUCUUCAUCUUUCCCACUGAUCCUAUCAUACAGAUCUUUCCCCCAGUUGCCAUGAAAACUGUUCUGUCCACGUAGAGAAUUUUGCUGGAUGGAGGUUCUGGACUAGUUCUUAAAUUUCAAUGCUGGCUCACCUGAUCGUUGUGGUUCAUCUUCAUCUCAUCUAUUUGUGCCAGAGUGACUUGUCAUCUCCACAGGAGAUUGCCUGCUGCCACCUGAUACCGAGUUUGUUGUUCAAUAGUCUUUUCCCAGAAGUUUCUCAGGUCACUGGUUUCACACCCCCUCACUUCAUGACGUAUGUAUUGACUGUUCAUUUUCUGUGAAAGAGAAAUGUG